CAGUUCGGAUUGUUAGGCUGAAACUCGCCUACAUGAAGCUGGAGUUACUAGUAAUCGCAGAUCAGAAUGCUGCGGUGAAUGCGUUCCCGGGUCUUGUACACACCGCCCGCCACACCACGGAAGUUGGGGGCGCCCGAAGCCACUUAGCUAACCCUUUUGGGAAGCGAGUGUCGAAGGUGAAAUCAAUAACUGGGGUGAAGUCGUAACAAGGUACC
This 215-nucleotide ribosomal RNA is filed under the name uncultured bacterium. Its description in RNAcentral is "partial 16S ribosomal RNA". It matches the Rfam family "Bacterial small subunit ribosomal RNA", at positions 1289 to 1500 of the family's 1533-position model. The record is from RNAcentral.